UACGAAGGGGGCUAGCGUUGUUCGGAAUUACUGGGCGUAAAGCGCGCGUAGGCGGAUCGCUAAGUCAGGGGUGAAAUCCCAGGGCUCAACCCUGGAACUGCCUCUGAUACUGACGAUCUGGAGAUCGGGAGAGGUUGGUGGAAUUCCGAGUGUAGAGGUGAAAUUCGUAGAUAUUCGGAGGAACACCAGAAGCGAAGGCGGCCAACUGGCCCGAUACUGACGCUGAGGCGCGAAAGCGUGGGGAGCAAACAGG
RNAcentral lists this ribosomal RNA (253 nucleotides) under uncultured bacterium. Its description in RNAcentral is "partial 16S ribosomal RNA". It matches the Rfam family "Bacterial small subunit ribosomal RNA", at positions 524 to 776 of the family's 1533-position model. The record is from RNAcentral.